CCUACGGGAGGCAGCAGUGAGGAAUAUUGGUCAAUGGACGAGAGUCUGAACCAGCCAAGUAGCGUGAAGGAUGACUGCCCUAUGGGUUGUAAACUUCUUUUAUAUGGGAAUAAAAUGUUUCACGUGUGGGAUUUUGUAUGUACCAUAUGAAUAAGGAUCGGCUAACUCCGUGCCAGCAGCCGCGGUAAUACGGAGGAUCCGAGCGUUAUCCGGAUUUAUUGGGUUUAAAGGGAGCGUAGGUGGAUUGUUAAGUCAGUUGUGAAAGUUUGCGGCUCAACCGUAAAAUUGCAGUUGAAACUGGCAGUCUGGAGUACAGUAGAGGUGGGCGGAAUUCGUGGUGUAGCGGUGAAAUGCUUAGAUAUCACGAAGAACUCCGAUUGCGAAGGCAGCUCACUGGACUGCAACUGACACUGAGGCUCGAAAGUGUGGGUAUCAAACAGGAUUAGAUACCCGAGUAGUC
RNAcentral lists this ribosomal RNA (460 nucleotides) under uncultured bacterium. Its description in RNAcentral is "partial 16S ribosomal RNA". It matches the Rfam family "Bacterial small subunit ribosomal RNA", at positions 338 to 795 of the family's 1533-position model. The record is from RNAcentral.